Molecule: ribosomal RNA, 253 nt
Filed under: uncultured bacterium
Lineage: Bacteria
Description: partial 16S ribosomal RNA
Rfam family: Bacterial small subunit ribosomal RNA
Source: RNAcentral
UACGGAGGAUGCAAGCGUUAUCCGGAAUUAUUGGGCGUAAGGCGUCCGCAGGUGGUUGGGCAAGUCUGCUGUCAAAGCGCGGAGCUUAACUCCGUACAGGCGGUGGAAACUGCACGACUGGAGUGCGGUAGGGGUAGAGGGAAUUCCCAGUGUAGCGGUGAAAUGCGUAGAUAUUGGGAAGAACACCAGCGGCGAAAGCGCUCUACUGGGCCGCAACUGACACUCAUGGACGAAAGCUAGGGGAGCGAAAGGG